RNAcentral lists this ribosomal RNA (498 nucleotides) under uncultured bacterium. RNAcentral describes it as "partial 16S ribosomal RNA". It matches the Rfam family "Bacterial small subunit ribosomal RNA", at positions 28 to 507 of the family's 1533-position model. The record is from RNAcentral.
GACGAACGCUGGCGGCGUGCCUAAUACAUGCAAGUCGAACGAGAGCGACCGGUGCUUGCACUGGUCAAUCUAGUGGCGAACGGGUGAGUAACACGUGGGUAACCUGCCCAUCAGAGGGGGAUAACAUCCGGAAACGGAUGCUAAAACCGCAUAGGUCUUCGAGCCGCAUGGCUUGAAGAGGAAAAGAGGCGCAAGCUUCUGCUGAUGGAUGGACCCGCGGUGCAUUAGCUAGUUGGUGAGGUAACGGCUCACCAAGGCCGUGAUGCAUAGCCGACCGGAGAGGGUGAUCGGCCACAUUGGGACUGAGACACGGCCCAAACUCCUACGGGAGGCAGCAGUAGGGAAUCUUCCGCAAUGGACGCAAGUCUGACGGAGCAACGCCGCGUGAGUGAAGAAGGUUGUCGGAUCGUAAAACUCUGUUGUUAGAGAAGAACAAGUGCUAGAGUAACUGUUAGCGCCUUGACGGUAUCUAACCAGAAAGCCACGGCUAACUACGUG